GACGAACGCUGGCGGCGUGCUUAACACAUGCAAGUCGAACGGAAAGGCCCUGCUUUUGUGGGGUGCUCGAGUGGCGAACGGGUGAGUAACACGUGAGUAACCUGCCCUUGACUUUGGGAUAACUUCAGGAAACUGGGGCUAAUACCGGAUAGGAGCUCCUGCUGCAUGGUGGGGGUUGGAGAGUUUCGGCGGUUGGGGAUGGACUCGCGGCUUAUCAGCUUGUUGGUGGGGUAGUGGCUUACCAAGGCUUUGACGGGUAGCCGGCCUGAGAGGGUGACCGGCCACAUUGGGACUGAGAUACGGCCCAGACUCCUACGGGAGGCAGCAGUGGGGAAUAUUGCACAAUGGGCGGAAGCCUGAUGCAGCAACGCCGCGUGCGGGAUGACGGCCUUCGGGUUGUAAACCGCUUUCGCCUGUGACGAAGCGUGAGUGACGGUAAUGGGUAAAGAAGCACCGGCUAACUACGUGCCAGCAGCCGCGGUGAUACGUAGGGUGCGAGCGUUGUCCGGAUUUAUUGGGCGUAAAGGGCUCGUAGGUGGUUGAUCGCGUCGGAAGUGUAAUCUUGGGGCUUAACCCUGAGCGUGCUUUCGAUACGGGUUGACUUGAGGAAGGUAGGGGAGAAUGGAAUUCCUGGUGGAGCGGUGGAAUGCGCAGAUAUCAGGAGGAACACCAGUGGCGAAGGCGGUUCUCUGGGCCUUUCCUGACGCUGAGGAGCGAAAGCGUGGGGAGCGAACAGGCUUAGAUACCCUGGUAGUCCACGCUGUAAACGGUGGGUACUAGGUGUGGGGUCCAUUCCACGGGUUCCGUGCCGUAGCUAACGCUUUAAGUACCCCGCCUGGGGAGUACGGCCGCAAGGCUAAAACUCAAAGGAAUUGACGGGGCCCCGCACAAGCGGCGGAGCAUGCGGAUUAAUUCGAUGCAACGCGUAGAACCUUACCUGGGUUUGACAUGGAUCGGGAGUGCUCAGAGAUGGGUGUGCCUCUUUUGGGGUCGGUUCACAGGUGGUGCAUGGCUGUCGUCAGCUCGUGUCGUGAGAUGUUGGGUUAAGUCCCGCAACGAGCGCAACCCUUGUUCACUGUUGCCAGCACGUUAUGGUGGGGACUCAGUGGAGACCGCCGGGGUCAACUCGGAGGAAGGUGGGGAUGACGUCAAGUCAUCAUGCCCCUUAUGUCCAGGGCUUCACGCAUGCUACAAUGGCUGGUACAGAGAGUGGCGAGCCUGUGAGGGUGAGCGAAUCUCGGAAAGCCGGUCUCAGCUCGAAUUGGGGUCUGCAACUCGACCUCAUGAAGUCGGAGUCGCUAGUAAUCGCAGAUCAGCAACGCUGCGGUGAAUACGUUCCCGGG
RNAcentral lists this ribosomal RNA (1343 nucleotides) under uncultured bacterium. RNAcentral describes it as "16S ribosomal RNA". It matches the Rfam family "Bacterial small subunit ribosomal RNA", at positions 28 to 1378 of the family's 1533-position model. The record is from RNAcentral.